Molecule: ribosomal RNA, 497 nt
Filed under: uncultured bacterium
Lineage: Bacteria
Description: partial 16S ribosomal RNA
Rfam family: Bacterial small subunit ribosomal RNA
Source: RNAcentral
GACGAACGCUGGCGGCGUGCCUAAUACAUGCAAGUUGAGUGCUGAAGGUUGGUACUUGUACCAACUGGAUGAGCAGCGAACGGGUGAGUAACGCGUGGGGAAUCUGCCUUUGAGCGGGGGACAACAUUUGGAAACGAAUGCUAAUACCGCAUAAAAACUUUAAACACAAGUUUUAAGUUUGAAAGAUGCAAUUGCAUCACUCAAAGAUGAUCCCGCGUUGUAUUAGCUAGUUGGUGAGGUAAAGGCUCACCAAGGCGAUGAUACAUAGCCGACCUGAGAGGGUGAUCGGCCACAUUGGGACUGAGACACGGCCCAAACUCCUACGGGAGGCAGCAGUAGGGAAUCUUCGGCAAUGGACGAAAGUCUGACCGAGCAACGCCGCGUGAGUGAAGAAGGUUUUCGGAUCGUAAAACUCUGUUGGUAGAGAAGAACGUUGGUGAGAGUGGAAAGCUCAUCAAGUGACGGUAACUACCCAGAAAGGGACGGCUAACUACGUG